Pogoniulus pusillus (Red-fronted tinkerbird) is the source of this 681-nucleotide long non-coding RNA. RefSeq lists it as uncharacterized. The transcript has 2 exons. The record is from RefSeq and is a predicted model, not a curated record. Lineage: Eukaryota; Metazoa; Chordata; Aves; Piciformes; Lybiidae.
GAGGCGCUCGGGGCGGUGCCGCCGCGCGUGAGCCGCUGGGCGGGGCUCUGGUACGUGCGCUCUGCUCCCAUUGGCUCCCCACCCGGAAGUGCCGCUGCGGGUGCCUGCGCGCUGGAGACAGCAGCUCCGCUCCGCGACCCCCGGCGAGAUGGAGACGGCGGCGCGGCGGCGGGAACCGCAGCAGCAGCAGCAGCAGCACGGAGAGCAGCCGGGUGCGUCGGCGGAUGACGGUCGGUCGCUGUCAGGAGAGUCCUACUGGUUGGACUUGUGGCUUUUCAUCUUCUUCGAUCUGGCGCUCUUCUUCAUCGUAUACUUCCUGCUCUGACGGCGCCGGGCCCAGAGCCACUACCUAAUCAUAGGAUGCACCUUACCGAAAUAGGCACAGCAGAACCAUUUGUGCAGCAUAAGCAGCUGGGAACACAACUCGUUUGCAUCUGAAUGCAAGAGACAUGUACACAUAGACUGUAUCAUAAUAUAUCUCCGGCUCUGUUGUGUUACUGUUUUUACCUGUGUCCUGUUCGUGUGUUCUAAACUGUGCCUUAAAGGUCACAUAAGACUGUGCUUUUGUAAUUAUUGUUUAAAGGUUUGUUAAGCAGAAACAAAAAUACACAGUUGGAAUAAAAUCGGUUAUAAGGACAGAUUGUAGAGUGACAGAGAAUAAAAUCUCUUAUGUAGACUAAA